RNAcentral lists this ribosomal RNA (253 nucleotides) under uncultured prokaryote. RNAcentral describes it as "partial 16S ribosomal RNA". It matches the Rfam family "Bacterial small subunit ribosomal RNA", at positions 524 to 776 of the family's 1533-position model. The record is from RNAcentral.
GACGUAGGGGGCGAGCGUUAUUCGGAAUUAUUGGGCGUAAAGCGCUCGUAGGCGGGACCGAAAGUCGGUGAGGAAAGACCUGGGCUCAACUCAGGGAACUGCAUCGAUACUUCGGUUCUUGAGGUAAUCAGAGGGUGAUGGAAUUCCCGGUGUAGCGGUGAAAUGCGUAGAUAUCGGUAGGAACACCAGUGGCGAAGGCGGUUCCCUGGGGCACUCUUGACGCUGAUGCGCGAAAGCUGGGGGAGCGAACGGG